This 301-nucleotide ribosomal RNA is filed under the name uncultured bacterium. RNAcentral describes it as "partial 16S ribosomal RNA". It matches the Rfam family "Bacterial small subunit ribosomal RNA", at positions 509 to 807 of the family's 1533-position model. The record is from RNAcentral.
CAGUAGCCGCGGUAAUACGAAGGGUGCAAGCGUUAAUCGGAAUUACUGGGCGUAAAGCGUGCGUAGGCGGUGAGUUAAGUCUGCUGUGAAAUCCCCGGGCUCAACCUGGGAAUGGCAGUGGAUACUGGCUCGCUAGAGUGUGUCAGAGGAUGGUGGAAUUCCCGGUGUAGCGGUGAAAUGCGUAGAGAUCAGGAGGAACAUCAGUGGCGAAGGCGGCCAUCUGGGACAACACUGACGCUGAGGCACGAAAGCGUGGGGAGCAAACAGGAUUAGAUACCCCUGUAGUCCCUGUCUCUUAUAC